UACGGAGGGUGCGAGCGUUGUCCGGAAUUAUUGGGUUUAAAGGGUGCGUAGGCGGUCGAUUAAGUCCGAGUUGAAAUCCCACAGCUUAACUGUGGAACUGGCUUGGAUACUGGUUGACUUGAGUAUGGUUGAGGUAGGCGGAAUUUAUGAUGUAGCGGUGAAAUGCAUAGAUAUCAUAAAGAACUCCAAUUGCGUAGGCAGCUUACUGGACCAUAACUGACGCUGAGGCACGAAAGCGUGGGGAGCGAACAGG
Molecule: ribosomal RNA, 253 nt
Filed under: uncultured bacterium
Lineage: Bacteria
Description: partial 16S ribosomal RNA
Rfam family: Bacterial small subunit ribosomal RNA
Source: RNAcentral